Molecule: unclassified non-coding RNA, 3493 nt
Filed under: Hevea brasiliensis (rubber tree)
Lineage: Eukaryota; Viridiplantae; Streptophyta; Magnoliopsida; Malpighiales; Euphorbiaceae
Source: RNAcentral
UUAAUAUCCAAACAAGGAGAGAAAAAUAACUUUAAAAUUAUUUUUAUUUUUCUUACUCAUUUUUCCUGUUUUAUUUUCCUUCCUCUCAAAUAAAGUUCCCAAACAUAGUGUUACUUCCAAAAUGUUAUUUUCUUCCCAAAUGCGCUUAAUCCUAUUCCCAUGUUUCAUCAUCUGCUCCAACGACCAAGCUUCCACAUCUCCUUGCAUUCGGCGAUGAACAUGUUCGUUUCUUGCUUUCUGUUUAUCUAUCCACAAUCUUAACUACAAAACUAUUCAACUAAAACGUAACAGCAUCCAGGCCCAUUACAUAUUUUAAUCACACAAUUAAUGUCAUGAUUCUCAUCUCUAUACCAAAAAUCAACACCCUGUCAUCAGCAAAAGCUUUUUACACACCAUUGUUUUGAAAGUGAAAUUGCCCUAUAUAUAAUUCAGCUCCACAAUGUAAGUAAUAAUUGACAACUACAAUCACAUUACCACAGGAAAAUGUGUAAGAAGACCAAUAUAAGUAAAUGCAAGAGGAUGCAAAAAAAUCAGGGACCAGUUGUGAAUGUCGUGAACAAAUUAACUAAAAUGACGGUUAUCCUACAGGGUCUAUGGAAGCUCAAGUGUGCACAAGGAGGAAUCACAACAGCGAACAUUGAAUCUGAUUCCCAUGUGCUGCCAUCCUGAUGCACUAAAAGCUUGCGUGAAGGCGUUGGAUUUCAGUCAGAUAUGCCCGUGGAUCUACAGUACGCAUUAAUAUAAAUAAUAGAAAGAAUUCAAUACAACAAUCAUAUGCAUACAUAAGAAUGAUAAACACAAAAAUAUAAACUUUCAUAUAUAUUGCCACAAUCAGAAGAGAAAAAAAAAAUGGAAGCAAACAAAGAUAGCAAUGAAUAACAGAAGUAAUGAAAGAUUUCACUGCAAUAAUUAAGAGAAAGAAGAAGGAUCAUUCGUACAGCUCUUGACUGAAUCAGCUGACAUCCUUGAGUCUUUUUAUCAAAGCAUCCAGAGAUUUCUUCUUCGGAUUCUGCCUGGCUCCCCUGCUCCCAAAUGUUCCAAACAGUCUAUCUGAAGGAUCCCUCAACUUCUCUGAUAUAGUCACUACUUUCCUAUAAUCCAAUGUAUUAUAGCUCCUCUCCCUAAUUACGGGGUUCAAAAAGUUCUCCGGGUGAUUGCUCAAAAGCAAAUUAAUCAAUUGCCUUAUCUCAGCAAGUGCUGCUCCCAACUGAUUUGUGUCUCCCUCGGAGAACGAAGAAGCCAGAUUAUCCGCAAAAGAUUCCAACAGUCGGAUAUCUACAUCAAUUCCCAUGAUAGCAUUCACAUUAAACCUCUUAACAGAGUCACCAAACAAUGUCCCCACUAUUGUCUCUGAUAUAUGAAAAAGAACAUCCUGUAAAACCCUUUUAAGAACACGAACCGGCAAUAUCUGUUGAGCAGUAGAAACCAGAGUUUCCAAAUAAAUUAUGACCUCAUUCACAUAUUCAUUUCCACUCUGUAUGGGCUCAUCAGCCAUCCAGUUCACAUUCUCAAUCAAUGUCAUGAAACCAUCAGCCUUCUGUUUAAGCAACCCAGAUAGCAUCUCUUCUGCUGCAUCACGAGCUUUGUUUAGUGGAAACUGCCUCCUACACCUCUCCGCCAUUCUCAAGGUAAUACCAGAAAGCUGAGCAGCAUGACGAAAGAAGAAGUCACAAGCAUGUUCCAUCACUGCCAUAUUUGCUGCAACCUGCAUAGCUUGGGAAACCCCAUGGACUGAUGUAUUUAUAAGCUUCAACAAAGCUUCAUCCAGAACCUCACUCAAAAGCCGAUCCAGAUACUUCUUAACAACAUCAAAGAAAUCAAGCUGCCCACCAUAAGACAUAAAACUCACAGAAUCUUCAAUAAAGGACCGCACGAUUCGACAGCAAUCUGGCACCGUGGAUGAAAAUGGUGCAACGUAAGGAAAUGCAGGUAUAAUAUCCGAAGUCUGUAUCUGAAAUGAAAGCACAUUCAUUGAAUAUUCAUACUCUUUCUUCAUCAACAUUUGCUCAAACUUAUCAGCAGCGAGUGCCUCAGCAAUCUGCUUACGACAAUCAGACAACAAUAACUCAUGGUACUUAUCCCUGUGCUUGCUCAAAACGUCUAAUAAAGCAUCCACAGGAUACCCAUAUCUGCGCAAAGUCACUCCAAGCAAACUCACGUAGUCCUUUAUCAACAAAAGAUGAUUCGCAGUUUGCAUCCUAGAAAACUGAUCUUCUAACACUGAACACAUCUUACUAACAGCAGUCUCCCACAAAUUCUCAACGUCCAUUCUCGAAAUCAGACCCCCUCCAGUCCUCAAAAUGCGAUCUUCUACUAUAAAAAACCCAGCAAUUUGCGCAAAAAAAGUUUGAUGAGAUUCAAGAAACGGCGUCAUGGAUGAUACCUGAAAAUCUGAAGUCAAUUGAAGCUUCCUAUUCUCAAAAUAAUACUGCUUAAACCGAUCUUCAAGCCCUAAUGUCUGGUGUACAUGGUAAGCCCUAUAUAGCGGAGUCAAAUCAAACCCUAACAAUCCAGUACCAUUGCUAUGCCCAUCCUUAACAUCAUCUCCGAUACCAACAUUAAGCCCAUCGUCAUCAUCUUCGUCUUGCAAAGCAUAAACGCAAUCUCGCAAACUCAGACGACUUUGCUCUUCAGCCUGCCUCUGCUUGAUUCUCAGGUCCUCUUCUCGCUGCCUCGCCGCGGAGGCUUGACCUAUCGCCAACUGCCCCAAAUUCCGACUCACUACACGGAUCUCCACGAGCCAAUCACCAAACUCCUUGCUCACUUUUCUCUCUAUAUGCGAUCGGAUCUCAGGAAUCUUCUUCUCCAACAUCCUCUUCAAAGCAGAAGAUGGCGUUUUAUCCAAUAACUCGCUCUCGAUCACAUCCACACACUUCAAGGCCAUGUAGAAAUUACCGCUUGAUAAAUGAUGGUUGGCUCUGGAACAAAGCUCCAUGAGCUUGAUACAUGACAUGAUUAAGGUAAGAGCUAAGUUCACAUUGCGAGAGACGGUUUGGGCCUCGAUAUAGGAGUCGAGCACCGUCAACAGAGGACCAGCGACAGACUGAAGCUUGGAAUUGGAAUCGGAAAGGGCGGAUUUCAAUAAAUCGACGUCGGAGAGCAAGGAUCGCAGGUCAUCGACGGCCAGGAUGAAGUCUUGGUAAUGAGCUUUGCAAACUUCCUCAAUUUCUGACUCUUUGGAGCGAGCGAAUUGGCGGAGAUUGUGGAGGAGUGUCUCGGGCUUACCUGAAGCGAAUGCCUUGCGGACGAAAGGGCCAAGGUCCUCGCCGUUGCAGAUGGCGGCGGAGAGUAGUAGCUGGUCUUGCUUGUCGGCGGAGUUGUCAAGGACUCCGUUGGCCGGAGCCACUUUCCGGCGGAGCUUUGUGGAGUGCAUUUUGGAGGGGAUUAUUGGAGGGAUAUGGGAGACGAUCUAGGAGACGGAUUGAGAAGCGGUUGUAUAGACACAAGAGGAUGGAAUCGGAGAUUGGUUUGACUAAUUUGACGGGGUGUAAAU